RNAcentral lists this transfer RNA (64 nucleotides) under Sphaerotermes sphaerothorax. RNAcentral's name for it is "tRNA-Ala". The record is from RNAcentral. Lineage: Eukaryota; Metazoa; Arthropoda; Insecta; Blattodea; Termitidae.
GGGACUAUAGUUAAUAAUAACAUUUGAGUUGCAUUCAAAAAGUACUAUCCCUUAGUUAGUCUCA